This 278-nucleotide ribosomal RNA is filed under the name Callibracon limbatus. Its description in RNAcentral is "partial 16S ribosomal RNA". The record is from RNAcentral. Lineage: Eukaryota; Metazoa; Arthropoda; Insecta; Hymenoptera; Braconidae.
CUGUACAAAGGUAGCAUAAUAAUUUGUUUUUUAAUUAAAAACUAGAAUGAAAGAUUUAAUGAAAUAUAAACUGUUUCAAUUAAAUUUAUUUUAAAUUUUUUAUUUAAGUAAAAAAACUUAAAUAAAAUUUAAAGACGAUAAGACCCUAUAGAAUUUUAUAUUUUAUUGGGGUAAUAAAAAAAUUAAAUUAAUUUUUUUUAAAAAUUACAACUAUAUUUGAAUAAUUUAUCUUAAUUUUUAAAUUAAAAAAAUCAAUUACCUUAGGGAUAACAGCAUAA